UACAGAGGGUGCGAGCGUUGUCCGGAAUCACUGGGCGUAAAGGGCGCGUAGGCGGCUUGAUAAGGUUGCGGUGAAAGCCCGGGGCUCAACCCCGGGUCGGCCGUGGCAACUGUCGAGCUGGAGCACUGUAGAGGCAGGUGGAAUUCCGGGUGUAGCGGUGGAAUGCGCAGAUAUCAGGAGGAACACCAAUUGCGAAGGCAGCUCGCUGGGACGUUACUGACGCUGAGACGCGAAAGCGUGGGGAGCAAACAGG
RNAcentral lists this ribosomal RNA (253 nucleotides) under uncultured bacterium. RNAcentral's name for it is "partial 16S ribosomal RNA". It matches the Rfam family "Bacterial small subunit ribosomal RNA", at positions 524 to 776 of the family's 1533-position model. The record is from RNAcentral.